UACGGAGGGUGCAAGCGUUAUCCGGAUUUACUGGGUUUAAAGGGUGCGUAGGUGGGUAGGUAAGUCAGUGGUGAAAUCUUCGAGCUUAACUCGGAAACUGCCAUUGAUACUAUUUAUCUUGAAUACUUUGGAGGUAAGCGGAAUAUGUCAUGUAGCGGUGAAAUGCUUAGAUAUGGCAUAGAACACCAAUUGCGAAGGCAGCUUACUACACAGUCAUUGACACUGAGGCACGAAAGCGUGGGGAUCAAACAGG
RNAcentral lists this ribosomal RNA (253 nucleotides) under uncultured bacterium. RNAcentral's name for it is "partial 16S ribosomal RNA". It matches the Rfam family "Bacterial small subunit ribosomal RNA", at positions 524 to 776 of the family's 1533-position model. The record is from RNAcentral.